CCGUCUCUCAGGUUCUAGCACGGCCCUCGGAAUGGCUAGAACUUUUUGAAGGCGCCAUGGAAACAUGGCGCCUUUUUUU
Molecule: non-coding RNA, 79 nt
Organism: Paraburkholderia caribensis
Lineage: Bacteria; Pseudomonadati; Pseudomonadota; Betaproteobacteria; Burkholderiales; Burkholderiaceae
Source: Rfam